This 442-nucleotide long non-coding RNA is filed under the name Helianthus annuus (common sunflower). The record is from RNAcentral. Lineage: Eukaryota; Viridiplantae; Streptophyta; Magnoliopsida; Asterales; Asteraceae.
AGAGAGAGAGAGAGAGAGUGAUGAGACUAAUCAUCUUCUCCAACCAAAACCCUCAAUCUGCGAUUCGAAUUCUGAUACCAAACCACAAGAAUAACGCCGAAGAUCAAGCAGGACAACAAUGGUGCUAACCCUGUGGUGGGUGCGUGACAAAAAAACAAGCAGUUUGACUCCUACGAAGUUUAGGAGAUAGUCCUAAGAUAUUCACUUUAAGAAUCAACCAUGGUGGUGUGUUUGUGAAUUCUCCUGUAAAAAGGUAUGUAUAUUUAACGAUCGAUCACAUAAAUAUGGUGGAUUCUGAUGUAUUUUCUGUUAUUGAGUUAAAUCACAUGAUUAUGGAAAUAGGUUAUCCCAAGGAACGGAUUAUGUUCCAUCACUUCUUAAUUCCUCAAACACAAAUUAGUGAUAGGUUAAGACCAUUAGGUAAUGAUCAAGAUGUGCUUUU